This 1182-nucleotide ribosomal RNA is filed under the name Triticum aestivum (bread wheat). RNAcentral describes it as "partial small subunit ribosomal RNA". Lineage: Eukaryota; Viridiplantae; Streptophyta; Magnoliopsida; Poales; Poaceae. The record is from RNAcentral.
AUGCUGACGCUGCUGCACAUCCCUCCACUUCCGAUCAAUCCUCCUUCCUCUCCUCCUCCCCGCCGGCGCCGCUGCCCACCUCCCAUGGCCGCCUUCGCCUCCGCCCCCCAGCAAUCCAAGCCCCUCGUGCUCGGCUGCGGCGCCGUCUCCGUGGACUACCUCGCCACCGUCGCCUCUUUCCCCAACCCCGACGACAAGAUCCGCAGCCUCGCGCUCAAGGUCGAGGGAGGUGGCAACGCCGGCAACGCCCUCACCGGAGCCGCUCGCCUGGGCCUCAGCCCAAGGAUUAUAUCCAAGGCGUCCAAUGAUGCACUGGGAAAAAACAUUCUCAAGGAGCUGCAAGACGACGGAGUAGACACUUCCUAUAUGACGAUAGCAGAUGGGGGGAAUUCACCGUUCACCUAUAUAAUCGUCGAUAACCAGACGAAAACUCGUACUUGCAUACACACUCCUGGUUAUCCCCCAAUGAAGCCUGAGGAGCUCACAAAGGAAAACUUGUUGGCUGCUUUACAUGGCGUAGACAUGGUGUAUUUUGAUGUUAGACUGCAUGAGACUGCUUUGCUUGUUGCAGAAGAGGCAAGCCAAAGAAAAAUUCCUAUUUUGGUCGACGCAGAGAAAAAGCGGGAGGGAUUGGAUGACCUUCUGAAUUUUGCAUCAUAUGUUGUAUGCUCUGCAAAAUUUCCUCAGGCCUGGACAGGAGCCUCAUCGACACCAGUUGCUUUGGUACACAUGCUUCUAAGGUUACCUAAUCUCAAGUUCGUUAUUGUAACCCGGGGAGAAAAAGGUUGCUUAAUGCUUGAAAGAAGUAUGACAGAUGCUUCUGAGACUGAGGAAACCGAUGUAGAGGAUCUGCUAGAAUCUUUAGAGCAGAAAGUCGAUUUGAGUUCUAGCAUGGCAAAAUGCGUUGCUUCCAAGUCAAAUUUGAGAAUAAGUGCAGAUGGCGUUGGCUCGAUGAGUGGCAGGUUACUUUUGGGUACAGCUGAAGCUAUACCCUCUGAAGAGCUCAUAGAUACAACUGGUGCAGGUGAUGCAUUCAUUGGAGCCGUUCUAUAUGGUUUAUGCACCGGCAUGCCAGUUGAGAAGAUGCUACCUUUCGCAGCACAAGUGGCUGCUUGCGGCUGCAGAGCUUUGGGGGCCAGGACUGGUCUUCCUCAUCUAACGGACCCGCGCCUGUCUCUCUAG